CUGACUGACUGACUACAGGUUAGUGACUGACUGACUACAGGUUAGUGACUGACUGACUGACUACAGGUUAGUGACUGACUGACUACAGGUUAGUGACUGACUGACUGACUGACUGACCACAGGUGACUGACUGACUACAGGUUAGUGACUGACUGACUGACUACAGGUUAGUGACUGACUGACUGACUACAGGUUAGUGACUGACUGACUGACUGACUACAGGUUAGUGACUGACUGACUACAGGUUAGUGACUGACUGACUGACUACAGGUUAGUGACUGACUGACUGACUACAGGUUAGUGACUGACUGACUGACU
Oncorhynchus tshawytscha (Chinook salmon) is the source of this 318-nucleotide long non-coding RNA. NCBI's taxonomy places the organism in Eukaryota, Metazoa, Chordata, Actinopteri, Salmoniformes, Salmonidae. The record is from Ensembl.